Alligator mississippiensis (American alligator) is the source of this 1304-nucleotide long non-coding RNA. RefSeq lists it as uncharacterized. The transcript is spliced from 2 exons. Lineage: Eukaryota; Metazoa; Chordata; Crocodylia; Alligatoridae. The record is from RefSeq and is a predicted model, not a curated record.
UGAGUUAAUGGUCACCUGGGUUAACAGUAUCGCACCCCAGUUGAGGUUUUUAGCUCCAGCUCCAGUCUGCAGGGCUGGGAAAUCGAGUGCCACGACCAGGGAUGGCUAAGAGAACAACGCUGCAGAAGAAAGGGUAGUCUGAAUAGUAGAACAGCAAGCCUAUUCAAAAGAAGAGAGUCACUAACACCUGGGAAGUGAAGAGAGAUUAGCCAGAUUUUAAUGUGCCAUGGAGUCAAUUGACUGCCUCAGUGCUACCUGCAUAGAAGUGCUGCUUCCCUUCCUGAGCAACAUUGGGUGAAGCAGGAUCUGCCCUGGAGAGUCAGCGCUGGCACGGGGACAGAACCGGGGUGUCCCAGUGCCAGUCUAUGACAGGCCCAUCUUUUUGGGAACAUGCAGUUCAGGCAAUACUUGCUCCAGCCUGCUCCCUGCCUAACCAGCUCCUGUUCUGCUUGCUGCAAAUAGAAGUGCUGUCUAGCUGGAUGGUGUCUCCUGGGAUAAACUGGCAUUAAGCAAAAACGGGAACUGCCCAGGAACAGACUGUCCACGCUGGUCAGCGGUGUGAGAGCUCAGAGGAGACAGCACAUGCCCGAGGCGCUGGGCCUGCUGCCAUGGACAGGCUUAGUCACGCCGCCCAGAAAUGUUCCUGAAUAAACCCCCUGGAACCACUCAUUCGGAGGCCUGCAGAGGAAUGAGAUGGAGGAAGACAAUACUUCCACUCCACACAAAAAUGAAAAACGAAGGCUUCACUCACAUCUAUGAAUGGGACCUGCUUCCAAGUCACUGAGGCUGGGUCGACGCAGAUGCCCUGCUGAGCCUGGUCCCACAGUGGAGAAGCCAGCCCUGCCCACCCGCUCCCACAUCACACAUGCUAAUCCCUGGAAAUCAGGGUCCAUGGGCUGCUGCAUGAUUGCUCAGCGCUGACAGCGCUUAGUCCAGGUCUUGUUCCAGCUGGCUGUGCAGGACAAGAGAUUUCCAAGCCUUGGCUCAGUUCUCUGUCUGGGAAGUACAGGCCUUACAAAUAUAUUCCUCACUCCUACCAUCUGCCCAGGAUAAGCUAAAAUUUAAUUUCUGUAAAUACUCCAGGAAAUUUUGCUAUUCCCUUUCAGGGAAUUCCUGAAAGUAAGCAAUCAAAGCAGGCCCAAGUGUGUGGAAGGAGAACACAACAGGCAUAUUUUGCCAUAAGCACUAGAAAAGCCAGUUACAUUUAUGAUACUUAAACCUAGGAACUAACUUUCUGCUUGCAUUUGUUUUUUUAAUCUGAAAAUCCCACAUUUUCUGUCAUAAAAAUAAAGUGUUGAACUGGU